RNAcentral lists this ribosomal RNA (797 nucleotides) under uncultured Bacillota bacterium. RNAcentral describes it as "bacterial SSU rRNA". It matches the Rfam family "Bacterial small subunit ribosomal RNA", at positions 541 to 1338 of the family's 1533-position model. The record is from RNAcentral. Lineage: Bacteria; Bacillati; Bacillota.
UUGUCCGGAUUUAUUGGGCGUAAAGCGAGCGCAGGCGGAAAAAUAAGUCUAAUGUGAAAGCCCUCGGCUUAACCGAGGAACUGCAUCGGAAACUGUUUUUCUUGAGUGCAGAAGAGGAGAGUGGAACUCCAUGUGUAGCGGUGGAAUGCGUAGAUAUAUGGAAGAACACCAGUGGCGAAGGCGGCUCUCUGGUCUGCAACUGACGCUGAGGCUCGAAAGCAUGGGUAGCGAACAGGAUUAGAUACCCUGGUAGUCCAUGCCGUAAACGAUGAGUGCUAAGUGUUGGGAGGUUUCCGCCUCUCAGUGCUGCAGCUAACGCAUUAAGCACUCCGCCUGGGGAGUACGACCGCAAGGUUGAAACUCAAAGGAAUUGACGGGGGCCCGCACAAGCGGUGGAGCAUGUGGUUUAAUUCGAAGCAACGCGAAGAACCUUACCAGGUCUUGACAUCUAGUGCAAUCUGUAGAGAUACGGAGUUCCCUUCGGGGACGCUAAGACAGGUGGUGCAUGGCUGUCGUCAGCUCGUGUCGUGAGAUGUUGGGUUAAGUCCCGCAACGAGCGCAACCCUUGUUAUUAGUUGCCAGCAUUAAGUUGGGCACUCUAAUGAGACUGCCGGUGACAAACCGGAGGAAGGUGGGGAUGACGUCAAGUCAUCAUGCCCCUUAUGACCUGGGCUACACACGUGCUACAAUGGGCAGUACAACGAGAAGCAAGCCUGCGAAGGCAAGCGAAUCUCUGAAAGCUGUUCUCAGUUCGGACUGCAGUCUGCAACUCGACUGCACGAAGCUGGAAUCGCUAG